GAUCCUGGCUCAGGAUGAACGCUAGCUACAGGCUUAACACAUGCAAAUCGAGGGGCAGCAUUGGAGUAGCAAUACUCAGAUGGCGACCGGCGCACGGGUGAGUAACACGCAUCCAACCUGCCGCUUACUCGGGGAUAGCCUUUCGAAAGAAAGAUUAAUACCCGAUGGUAUAAAGAGUUCGCAUGUUCUCUUUAUUAAAGAAUUUCGGUAAGCGAUGGGGAUGCGUUCCAUUAGAUAGUUGGCGGGGUAACGGCCCACCAAGUCUACGAUGGAUAGGGGUUCUGAGAGGAAGGUCCCCCACAUUGGAACUGAGACACGGUCCAAACUCCUACGGGAGGCAGCAGUGAGGAAUAUUGGUCAAUGGACGAGAGUCUGAACCAGCCAAAAGUAGCGUGAAGGAUGACUGCCCUAUGGGUUGUAAACUUCUUUUAUAAGGGAAUAAAGUGAGGGACGUGUCCCUUUUUGUAUGUACCUUAUGAAUAAGGAUCGGCUAACUCCGUGCCAGCCGCCGC
Molecule: ribosomal RNA, 512 nt
Filed under: uncultured bacterium
Lineage: Bacteria
Description: bacterial SSU rRNA
Rfam family: Bacterial small subunit ribosomal RNA
Source: RNAcentral